This 126-nucleotide non-coding RNA is filed under the name Mola mola (ocean sunfish). The record is from RNAcentral. Lineage: Eukaryota; Metazoa; Chordata; Actinopteri; Tetraodontiformes; Molidae.
GCUUUCCUUGUCAGGGAGUGGGAGAGGAGCUCGAUGGACAACUAGUGAGGGUGGCUCUGUUGACACCAAAACAACACUCAAACAUCACCUGGAUUUCAGUCCAGAUCAUGGUGCAUUUAUGGAACC